UGGAAGCGUCUGGAAAGGCGCGCGAUACAGGGUGACAGCCCCGUACACAAAAAUGCACAUGCUGUGAGCUCGAUGAGUAGGGCGGGACACGUGGUAUCCUGUCUGAAUAUGGGGGGACCAUCCUCCAAGGCUAAAUACUCCUGACUGACCGAUAGUGAACCAGUACCGUGAGGGAAAGGCGAAAAGAACCCCGGCGAGGGGAGUGAAAAAGAACCUGAAACCGUGUACGUACAAGCAGUGGGAGCACGCUUCGGCGUGUGACUGCGUACCUUUUGUAUAAUGGGUCAGCGACUUAUAUUCUGUAGCAAGGUUAACCGAAUAGGGGAGCCGAAGGGAAACCGAGUCUUAACUGGGCGUUAAGUUGCAGGGUAUAGACCCGAAACCCGGUGAUCUAGCCAUGGGCAGGUUGAAGGUUGGGUAACACUAACUGGAGGACCGAACCGACUAAUGUUGAAAAAUUAGCGGAUGACUUGUGGCUGGGGGUGAAAGGCCAAUCAAACCGGGAGAUAGCUGGUUCUCCCCGAAAGCU
This 529-nucleotide ribosomal RNA is filed under the name Escherichia coli. Its description in RNAcentral is "partial 23S ribosomal RNA". It matches the Rfam family "Bacterial large subunit ribosomal RNA", at positions 333 to 867 of the family's 2925-position model. The record is from RNAcentral. Lineage: Bacteria; Pseudomonadati; Pseudomonadota; Gammaproteobacteria; Enterobacterales; Enterobacteriaceae.